This 468-nucleotide ribosomal RNA is filed under the name uncultured bacterium. Its description in RNAcentral is "partial 16S ribosomal RNA". It matches the Rfam family "Bacterial small subunit ribosomal RNA", at positions 28 to 507 of the family's 1533-position model. The record is from RNAcentral.
GACGAACGCUGGCGGCGUGCUUAACACAUGCAAGUCGAACGGAAAGGCCCUGCUUUUGUGGGGUGCUCGAGUGGCGAACGGGUGAGUAACACGUGAGUCACCUGCCCUUGGCUUUGGGAUAACUUCAGGCAACUGGGGCUAAUACCGGAUUGGAGCUCCUGCUGCAUGGUGGGGGUUGGAAAGUUUCGGCGGUUGGGGCUGGACUCGCGGGUUAUCAGCUUGUUGGUGGGGUAGUGGCUUACCAAGGCUUUGACGGGUAGCCGGCCUGAGAGGGUGACCGGCCACAUUGGGACUGAGAUACGGCCCAGACUCCUACGGGAGGCAGCAGUGGGGAAUAUUGCACAAUGGGCGGAAGCCUGAUGCAGCAACGCCGCGUGCGGGAUGACGGCCUUCGGGGUGUAAACCGCUUUCGCCUGUGACGAAGCGUGAGUGACGGUAAUGGGUAAAGAAGCACCGGCUAACUACGUG